GACGAACGCUGGCGGCGUGCCUAAUACAUGCAAGUAGAACGCUGAAGGAGGAGCUUGCUUCUCUGGAUGAGUUGCGAACGGGUGAGUAACGCGUAGGUAACCUGCCUGGUAGCGGGGGAUAACUAUUGGAAACGAUAGCUAAUACCGCAUAAGAGUAGAUGUUGCAUGACAUUUGCUUAAAAGGUGCAAUUGCAUCACUACCAGAUGGACCUGCGUUGUAUUAGCUAGUUGGUGAGGUAACGGCUCACCAAGGCGACGAUACAUAGCCGACCUGAGAGGGUGAUCGGCCACACUGGGACUGAGACACGGCCCAGACUCCUACGGGAGGCAGCAGUAGGGAAUCUUCGGCAAUGGACGGAAGUCUGACCGAGCAACGCCGCGUGAGUGAAGAAGGUUUUCGGAUCGUAAAGCUCUGUUGUAAGAGAAGAACGAGUGUGAGAGNGGAAAGUUCACAC
RNAcentral lists this ribosomal RNA (455 nucleotides) under uncultured bacterium. Its description in RNAcentral is "bacterial SSU rRNA". It matches the Rfam family "Bacterial small subunit ribosomal RNA", at positions 28 to 469 of the family's 1533-position model. The record is from RNAcentral.